AACACAAGACAAGAGGAGUGCUAGACUACAUCCAUUCAGAUUUAUGGGGUCCCUCUAAACUUCCAUCGAAGGGCAGAAAGAGGUAUCUUCUCACUUUUAUUGAUGAUUUCUCACGAAAGGUUUGGGUAUAUUGAAAGGGUUCUCGAGAGAUUCAAUAUGCAUACGUGCAAGCCUGUAAGUACACCAUUAGCUCCUCAUUUUAAACUUUCAGAGUUACAAAUGCCUCAGUCCGAGGAUGAGGUGGAGCAUAUG
This is a non-coding RNA of Nicotiana tabacum (common tobacco), 252 nucleotides long. NCBI's taxonomy places the organism in Eukaryota, Viridiplantae, Streptophyta, Magnoliopsida, Solanales, Solanaceae. The record is from RefSeq and is a predicted model, not a curated record.